This 506-nucleotide ribosomal RNA is filed under the name uncultured bacterium. RNAcentral describes it as "bacterial SSU rRNA". It matches the Rfam family "Bacterial small subunit ribosomal RNA", at positions 501 to 1009 of the family's 1533-position model. The record is from RNAcentral.
CUACGUGCCAGCAGCCGCGGUAAUACGGAAGGUCCAGGCGUUAUCCGGAUUUAUUGGGUUUAAAGGGAGCGUAGGCCGUGGAUUAAGCGUGUUGUGAAAUGUAGACGCUCAACGUCUGAAUUGCAGCGCGAACUGGUUCACUUGAGUAUGCACAACGUAGGCGGAAUUCGUCGUGUAGCGGUGAAAUGCUUAGAUAUGACGAAGAACUCCGAUUGCGAAGGCAGCUGACGGGAGCGCAACUGACGCUUAAGCUCGAAGGUGCGGGUAUCAAACAGGAUUAGAUACCCUGGUAGUCCGCACAGUAAACGAUGGAUGCCCGCUGUUGGUACCUGGUAUCAGCGGCUAAGCGAAAGCAUUAAGCAUCCCACCUGGGGAGUACGCCGGCAACGGUGAAACUCAAAGGAAUUGACGGGGGCCCGCACAAGCGGAGGAACAUGUGGUUUAAUUCGAUGAUACGCGAGGAACCUUACCCGGGCUUGAACUAACGGUGACGAAUCUAGAGAUAG